GCCGGGGUGGCGAAAUGGUAGACGCAGGAGACUUAAAAUCUUCUGUCCCCUGUGGACGUGCGGGUUCAAGUCCCGCCUCCGGCA
This 84-nucleotide transfer RNA is filed under the name Pseudomonadota bacterium. RNAcentral describes it as "Proteobacteria bacterium (gut metagenome) tRNA-Leu". It matches the Rfam family "tRNA". Rfam says of the family: Transfer RNA (tRNA) molecules are approximately 80 nucleotides in length. Their secondary structure includes four short double-helical elements and three loops (D, anti-codon, and T loops). Further hydrogen bonds mediate the characteristic L-shaped molecular structure. tRNAs have two regions of fundamental functional importance: the anti-codon, which is responsible for specific mRNA codon recognition, and the 3' end, to which the tRNAs corresponding amino acid is attached (by aminoacyl-tRNA synthetases). tRNAs cope with the degeneracy of the genetic code in two manners: having more than one tRNA (with a specific anti-codon) for a particular amino acid; and 'wobble' base-pairing, i.e. permitting non-standard base-pairing at the 3rd anti-codon position. Lineage: Bacteria; Pseudomonadati; Pseudomonadota. The record is from RNAcentral.